Molecule: ribosomal RNA, 306 nt
Filed under: uncultured Syntrophus sp.
Lineage: Bacteria; Pseudomonadati; Thermodesulfobacteriota; Syntrophia; Syntrophales; Syntrophaceae
Description: bacterial SSU rRNA
Rfam family: Bacterial small subunit ribosomal RNA
Source: RNAcentral
GAGGGUUAAGUCCCGCAACGAGCGCAACCCUUGUCUUUAAUUGCCAUCAUUGAGUUGGGCACUUUAAAGAGACUGCCGGUGUUAAACCGGAGGAAGGUGGGGAUGACGUCAAGUCCUCAUGGCCUUUAUGCCCAGGGCUACACACGUGCUACAAUGGGUGGUACAAAGAGCAGCCAGCUCGCGAGAGUGAGCAAAUCUCAAAAAGCCAUCCUCAGUUCGGAUUGAAGUCUGCAACUCGACUUCAUGAAGUUGGAAUCGCUAGUAAUCGCGGAUCAGCAUGCCGCGGUCGAAUACGUUCCGGGCCUU